GACGAACGCUGGCGGCGUGCCUAAUACAUGCAAGUUGAGCGCUGAAGGUUGGUACUUGUACCAACUGGAUGAGCAGCGAACGGGUGAGUAACGCGUGGGGAAUCUGCCUUUGAGCGGGGGACAACAUUUGGAAACGAAUGCUAAUACCGCAUAAAAACUUUAAACACAAGUUUUAAGUUUGAAAGAUGCAAUUGCAUCACUCAAAGAUGAUCCCGCGUUGUAUUAGCUAGUUGGUGAGGUAAAGGCUCACCAAGGCGAUGAUACAUAGCCGACCUGAGAGGGUGAUCGGCCACAUUGGGACUGAGACACGGCCCAAACUCCUGCGGGAGGCAGCAGUAGGGAAUCUUCGGCAAUGGACGAAAGUCUGACCGAGCAACGCCGCGCGAGUGAAGAAGGUUUUCGGAUCGUAAAACUCUGUUGGUAGAGAAGAACGUUGGUGAGAGUGGAAAGCUCAUCAAGUGACGGUAACUACCCAGAAAGGGACGGCUAACUACGUG
RNAcentral lists this ribosomal RNA (497 nucleotides) under uncultured bacterium. RNAcentral's name for it is "partial 16S ribosomal RNA". It matches the Rfam family "Bacterial small subunit ribosomal RNA", at positions 28 to 507 of the family's 1533-position model. The record is from RNAcentral.